Molecule: ribosomal RNA, 280 nt
Filed under: uncultured Prevotella sp.
Lineage: Bacteria; Pseudomonadati; Bacteroidota; Bacteroidia; Bacteroidales; Prevotellaceae
Description: partial 16S ribosomal RNA
Rfam family: Bacterial small subunit ribosomal RNA
Source: RNAcentral
AAACGACAUCGAAAGCUUGCUUUUGAUGGGCGUCGACCGGCGCACGGGUGAGUAACGCGUAUCCAACCUGCCCACCACUUGGGGAUAACCUUGCGAAAGUAAGACUAAUACCCAAUGACGUCUCUAGAAGACAUCUGAAAGAGAUUAAAGAUUUAUCGGUGAUGGAUGGGGAUGCGUCUGAUUAGCUUGUUGGCGGGGUAACGGCCCACCAAGGCAACGAUCAGUAGGGGUUCUGAGAGGUUGAACGGCCACAUUGGGACUGAGACACGGCCCAGACUCC